UACGUAGGGGGCAAGCGUUGUCCGGAAUCAUUGGGCGUAAAGCGCGCGUAGGCGGCCAGAUAAGUCCGGUGUGAAAGUCACAGGCUCAACCUGUGAAUGCCGCUGGAAACUGUCUGGCUUGAGUCCGGAAGGGGCGAGUGGAAUUCCUGGUGUAGCGGUGAAAUGCGCAGAUAUCAGGAGGAACAUCUGCGGCGAAGGCGGCUUCCUGGCCCAUUACUGACGUUCAGGUACGAAAGCGUGGGUAGCAAACAGG
Molecule: ribosomal RNA, 253 nt
Filed under: uncultured bacterium
Lineage: Bacteria
Description: partial 16S ribosomal RNA
Rfam family: Bacterial small subunit ribosomal RNA
Source: RNAcentral